GACGAACGCUGGCGGCGUGCUUAACACAUGCAAGUCGAACGGUGAAGCCCUUCGGGGUGGAUCAGUGGCGAACGGGUGAGUAACACGUGAGCAACCUGCCCCUGGCUCUGGGACAACCACUGGAAACGGUGGCUAAUACCGAAUACGACCCGCCUCGGCAUCGAGUGUGGGUGGAAAGUUUUUCGGCUGGGGAUGGGCUCGCGGCCUAUCAGCUUGUUGGUGAGGUGAAGGCUCACCAAGGCGACGACGGGUAGCCGGCCUGAGAGGGCGACCGGCCACACUGGGACUGAGACACGGCCCAGACUCCUACGGGAGGCAGCAGUGGGGAAUAUUGCACAAUGGGCGAAAGCCUGAUGCAGCGACGCCGCGUGAGGGAUGACGGCCUUCGGGUUGUAAACCUCUUUCAGCUCCGAAGAAGCGAAAGUGACGGUAGGAGCAGAAGAAGCACCGGCUAACUACGUG
This 462-nucleotide ribosomal RNA is filed under the name uncultured bacterium. RNAcentral's name for it is "partial 16S ribosomal RNA". It matches the Rfam family "Bacterial small subunit ribosomal RNA", at positions 28 to 507 of the family's 1533-position model. The record is from RNAcentral.